Fukomys damarensis (Damara mole-rat) is the source of this 434-nucleotide long non-coding RNA. RefSeq lists it as uncharacterized. Lineage: Eukaryota; Metazoa; Chordata; Mammalia; Rodentia; Bathyergidae. The transcript is spliced from 3 exons. The record is from RefSeq and is a predicted model, not a curated record.
GUUUUUUUCUUGAAAAGCAUGGUGUUAAUAUGUUUAAUAUCCUGCAGUGUUUCCUCCAGGCUCCAUAGUCUGAUGGGAAAAGUCGUGUUAAUAUCUGAAGGCCAAGUUGAACAUCAAGGCUCCAAGACCCUCCACUUCACGGCUCUCUCUGGGAUGAACCUUUGUGGAGGGAGGGCCUGCUGUGGCAGAGUGCAGGGGCAGAGCUGCCAGACAAAGACAACAGGGGCUGGAGGAAACGGACCAGGCACAUGAACCCUUGUACCCUCCACUCCUGGACCAGCAUGGAUGGUGGCACUGGGGACACUAGGACCAGCCCAGGUUAGUGGGCGAACCUGGACAAUGAAGAGAAACCCAGUACGUGACAGCCAGCCAGGACCUCUCUCCACUUAUCCCUGCAGGUCGGACCCCUUGCUGGGUCAUGUUAGCUCCAGGCA